Molecule: long non-coding RNA, 405 nt
Organism: Anarrhichthys ocellatus (wolf-eel)
Lineage: Eukaryota; Metazoa; Chordata; Actinopteri; Perciformes; Anarhichadidae
Exons: 2
Source: RefSeq, a predicted model, not a curated record
ACAGACAUAGAACAGAUAAAGAUCAUAUAAUGAUUAUUAUAAACAUGUAGACAUAGAACAGAUAAAGAUCAUCCAAUGAUUAUUAAUAACCACAAACAUGACACUUUAAUGUUACAUUUAAUUGUAGUUAAAUGUAAUGAAAAUAGUAAGAACUAGCAGUACAACCUUUAAAUGGUGUGUGUGUGUGUGUGUGUGUGUGUGUUGCAGCUCUGCAGAUUCAGAACCAUCAGCGUAGACAGAAGCUGGACCUGGUCUUGUCUCACUCCUUCAACCAGUGGCAGGCCUGCCUGGAAGUUGGCAUCCAGCUGAACCAGCUGCUGGGCUUCCCCUUACCUGAGCCCCAGAUCUCCAGGUUGUGUGAGGGGACGGUGGUCCACCAGCUGGUCCACAGCAUGCAGUCUGGAG